CGGGGAGAUAGCGUCAGUAGCUCAGCUCACGGGCCUAGACGCAGUCAAGCUCAUAGGCCUCAUAGUCAAAGCCGCGAACACCGCGUGGAUGCACAAGAAGAACUGCCGCCAGUUCGCUCAGCACCUCAAACUCAUCGGCAACUUGCUCGAGCAGCUCAAGAUCUCCGAGAUGAAGAAGUAUCCAGAGACUCGCGAGCCUCUCGAAGGCCUCGAGGAUGCUCUGAGGAGGUCUUACAUUUUGGUUAACAGUUGUCGUGACAGGAGCUAUCUUUACUUGUUGGCUAUGGGAUGGAACAUUGUUUACCAGUUCAGGAAAGCUCAGGACGAGAUUGAUCGUUUUCUCAAGAUCAUACCUCUCAUCACUUUGGUUGAUAACGCUCGUGUUAGGGUAAGUUUAGCUGAGUUUUUCAUUCUAAAGAGACAUACUUUCUUGUUUAGCCCUAGAAACUCGGUUCUUGAAUAGGUUUGGUCUCUAGAGGUUUAGCAUCCUUUCGGUAUUUAGAAAAUUUGUGGUUCGGUUAUUUCAGUUUUCGGUUUGGUUAUGGUAACAAAUUUAGGAAGUGGCUAAUAUCUAAGUUAAUUUAGGAUCUUAUUCGGUUUAGAUUUUCGGUUAAUUUAGGUUAAAAAGUCAGAAAAAUUGGAUUUUUCGGAUUAAAUAUCAGAUUUUUCGGGGUUUUUGAUUACUCCGAUAAUCUGAAAUAUUUUGGAUAAAAAAAUCUAUUUUGGUUUAUAAAUACUCCAUCCGUUUCUUUUUAAUUGGUAUUUUAGUAAGAAAACAUUUAAUUUUGCAUAUGUUAUACCUAACCAUAUUUCAACCAAUAGAAAAAUAAACUAGAGAAUAUUGUUAAUAAUUUUUGCAUUGAAAUUCUAAAACUACACUUGUUUUUGAAAUGAAAAAUUUUCUCUACAACUAUAAUUAAACUGAAAUGGAGAGAGUAAUAUUUUUCUGUUCGGUUUAUUUAGUUCUUCGGUUCCAGAUAAAUGUGUCCAUGCGUAAUGUUGUUAACGGGGGUUAAUGGAUUUUGUUUGUGCAGGAGAGGUUAGAGUACAUUGACCGUGAUCAGUUCGAGUACACUCUCGAUGAAGAGGAUAGACACGUGCAAGAUGUUAUUUUGAAACAAGAAUCCACCAGAGAAGCAGCUUCCGUGCUCAAGAAGACUCUCUCUUGCUCAUACCCUAACCUGCGUUUCUGCGAUGCUCUCAAAACUGAGAACGAGAAACUGCAGCUGGAGCUUCAGCGUUCGCAGGAGCAUUACGAUGUGGCUCAGUGUGAAGUCAUUCAGCGUUUGAUUGGUGUUACUCAAACUGUUGCUGAGGUUGACGGCGGCUCUGAGAAGGAGCUGUCCAAGAAAGCUUCCAAAAAGGCUGACCGUAGUGUAAGCCAUAAGACGGAAUAUUCGUAUGAGGAAGAUCCUCCCAUGAAAAGCACUAGUCGUGCAGCUUCAAGGUUACAUAACUUCAUGUGCUUUAUUAAAAUGCAAUUUGUGAUUAGUUUAUGUGACUAAUGUUUGAAUAACGCUGGCUAUAUAAUUGUUUCAUGCAGAUCCACUUCUUCUGUUACAUCAGGACAUGAUAUGCUUUCACGAAGAGCAUCACUACACCAUGAAGAAUGGCACACUGAUUUACUAGCUUGUUGCUCGGAACCUUCUCUUUGUGAGUUCUUCCCCUCUUCUUGCUUCCACUGUGAUUCCACUUUGUUUUCUCCGUUAUAUAAGAAAGGUGAUUAGCGUUUCACGUUCCAUACGUUCUUGUUAUUGUGAAUGAUGCAAUGAUGGAACUCGCAGGCUUGAAGACAUUUUUUUUCCCGUGUGGUACUUUGGCAAAGAUUGCCACUGCAGCAACUAACAGACACAUCUGUAAGUGGGAUAUAAUUAGUCAACUUUAUCAUGUUACAAUUUGUUAAUAAAUAAUACUUGUGAAAACUAAGAUGUUGACUUUGUUUUUGUUGGUCCUUCCAGCUUCAGCUGAAGCAUGUAAUGAGCUAAUGGCAUAUUCUUUGAUACUUUCUUGUUGCUGCUACACUUGUUGUGUAAGGAGGAAACUCCGGAAAACACUCAACAUUACGGUACACUCUCUUCAAAACCCCUGAACCCCUUAUCCAUCUCAAUAAUCUUUUGAUUCCAAACAUCUAUAUAUGGCUCCAAGAAAACAAUAGAUUAAAAAAAUAAAAAUUAAGUAGGCACCUCUAACACUCUAGUAAAUAUUAUAGGUGAGAUUGAAACACUUCAUCUCAAGAGCUUCAAAUCCGCAUUUGUCACAUACUUGAGGUUUUCUGAUUUGGCAGGGAGGGUUCAUUGACGAUUUUCUAUCUCAUUUGAUGUGUUGUUGCUGUGCUCUUGUCCAAGAACUGCGAGAAGUUGAGAUUCGUGGGGCUUAUGGUAUGAACUAUAUAGAUAGAUACAUCUUAACACAACGUUUGGUUUUAGCCUUAAAGCAUGAACAAAUAUCGUUUCUUAAUAUCCUCGCAGGUACGGAGAAGACGAAAAUAAGUCCACCUUCGUCGCAGUUCAUGGAACAUUGAAUUCUUAUACAAAAAGGUGAACUAAACAACGUUAUGACACGAGCUUCUUCGUGCUACUUUCUUACUGUCUUUUUGUCUUUGCAUGUAAAUGAGUUUGGGAUUCCCAUCGACUUUUCAGUAAUUGUGCUGUGUAUCGUAUAGACUAUGGACUAACUAAAACCUCGCCUUUGACUUUGAUCAUAUGAUGAUGAUAGUGGUUUUACGUUCAAGGUUUCUUGAUUUCAGACAAAAGUUUUAUCAUUUGGGUCUAAAUAGCAAUUUUAUAUAAAUUGAGGAUUGAGUAGCAUAUCUUAUUACUAGGUGUUUUGCCCGUACAUGCGGACAUAAUCAUCUUACAAAUACUUAUUAUUUUAUGAUUUAUUAAUUUAAAAAUCGGUAUAAUAAAACUCUAAUUGGUGAACAAUAAAGAAAAAAAAUAUGGUAAAUUCUUUGUUCCUCGAAAUUUAUACCAGUUAUGUUGAAAUUUUAGUUAAAUUAUUGAAAGGUAGAUCUCACUUUUUUCUUCUAAAUUCUCCAUGGAAGAAUGAAUUUAUAAGAAAAACUUUUUUCAACUUUAUACAAGAUCGUUUAAGUAAUAGAGUCAAUGGGUGGACUUUCAAGUUUUUCACAAAAGGUGGAAAGGAAGUGAUCAUUAAAACAGUGAUUACGGCAUUACCAAAUCAUACGAUGUCCUGCUAUCGAUUGCCUAAAGCAACGGUGAAAAAACUGACAAGCGCGGUAUCACAAUUUUGGUGGAGUCCAGGGGGAAGUACAAGAGGCAUACACUGGAAAUCAUGGGACAAGGUAUGUGUAGACAAAGAGGAUGGAGGUCUGGGGUUUAAAGAUAUCACUGAUUUCAACACAGCGAUGCUUGGUAAACAGUUAUGGCGUUUAAUAGAGAAGCCAGACACCUUAUUUUCUCGAGUUUUCAAAGGUCGGUAUUUUAGGAAUGCUUCACCCUUGGAACCGAUUCGUUCAUAUUCUCCGUCAUACGGCUGGCGGAGUAUUAUUUCUGCUAGAUCUCUGGUUAGCAAAGGACUAAUCAAAAGGGUGGGAUCAGGGUCUUCUAUAUCCGUAUGGAAUGACCCUUGGCUCCCAACCACUCGCCCGAGACCAGCUAAUAAAAAUCAACAUAAUUUAUACCCGGACCUUACAGUAGAGUCCCUCAUUGACUCUACCUCGCGUACUUGGAAUUCAGACGCAAUUCGGGCUUUGGUGGACCCUCAGGAUGCGAAACUUAUAGAAAGUAUUCCCCUAAGCAGGACUCAGCGGGUUGAUAGAGAUGGAUGGCACUUUACAAAAAAUGGAAAAUAUACGGUCAAAUCAGGAUAUCAGGUAGAGCGGAUUUAUCCAGAUAGAGAAAGAGUACCAAUACUGAUUGGUCCCACAGUGGAUGUAUUGAAGGCUUUCUGCUGGAAAAUACGGUGUUCGCCAAAGCUAAAACAUUUCCUAUGGCAACUAGUGACAGGGUGUAUAGGAGUGCGGAAGAAUUUACAAGCAAGGGGGAUUCAAGGGGAUAUUUGUUGUGCAAGAUGUGGAGCUCCUGAGGAAUCAAUAAAUCAUGUGUUUUUUGAAUGUCCUCCAGCUCUCCAAGUUUGGGCUCUUUCGAAGAUACCAUCAAAUCCAACUAUUUUCCCAACAAGUUCUCUCUUCACAAACAUGGAUCAUCUAUUCUGGAGAGUUUUACCACAGAUGGAGGAUCACCAGUUUGUAUGGAUACUAUGGUACAUCUGGAAAGCUAGGAAUAAUAAAGUUUUCAGCAAUUUGGAUAUGGACCCUAUGGAUACGCUUAAAUUGGCGGAAACAGAAUCGACAUUGUGGGCUGAGGCACAAGUUGUGAAUGACCAGAGGAUGCCACCACCAAUAAUAGAUAUGAUAUUGCCGUCGAUCCCAGGAAGAUGGUGUUUCACAGAUGGCUCGUGGAAAGAGGGGGUUACUUUUUCAGGGCAAGGUUGGCUUAGUACUUUGGAAGGUUUUAAUGGAUUGUUGGGGGCGAGGAAUGUUCGGGCUAGUCUUUCGCCUCUUCAUGCGGAGAUGGAAGCGCUACUAUGGGCAAUGGAAUGUAUGAGGAAUUUACGUCAAUUUCAGGUCACGUUUGCAACAGAUUGUUCUCAAUUGGUGAAGAUGGUUUCGGAACCAGAAGAAUGGCCAGCUUUUGCAAAUUAUUUGGAUGAUAUCAAGAUCCUGAAAGAGAGUUUCUCCCGAUCAGAGCUUAUCUAUGUACCACGAACGCACAAUUCAAAGGCGGAUAGUCUAGCACGCAGUGCUAGAAAGCAAUCGUCUUUCGUCGUUCACAUGGAUGAAGAUUACCCGGUUUGGUUUACAGAGUCAGUAUGAGUCUGUAUAUUUUAUAUAAAUAAUUUUAAUUUCGGUAAGAUUUUUUUAUCUCUCAGAAUAUUUUUUUAAUUAAUGUAAAUAUUAAAUUUAUAAUUAUAAUUUGAUUUGUCAUUAACAUUUUGAAUGAAUUAUUAAAAUUUCAUAGUUUUCUAAUAACAUAUUUUUAAAUAGUAUAUGAACUAAAUGUUAGUUAUAAACUAUUAUAUUUUUGUAUAUUAAUUUUUUUAAACAAUAUAUUGUUGAGAGUUUCAAAAUAAAAAAUAAAAUAAUAUGUAGUUGUAGUUAUUAAAUUUUAACCUAUGUUUAUAAAUUUAAUUUUCUAAAAAAAUAUAAUAUAUUUUACGAAUUUUAACACAUUUUAAUGAUGAGUGAUAAUUUAUUUAAAUGAAACUAUUUCAAAAAUAAAAUAGAUAAAUUUACCCAUAUUUAAUUCAUAUAGUACUUCUAUUUUACUAUAAUACAUAAUAUAAUUAACAUAUAUAUAAAAAUAGUAUAGAAUUUUAUUUUAUUGUUUUAUAAUAAAUUUUUAAUUAACUUUGAAUUAUAAAGUUAUAUUAGUAUUUACGAAAUUAAUUAAGUAUUAUUUUAUAAAAAUACUUAGAAGGUUGGUAGGAUUUUGUUAGAUUUUUUCUCAACAGAAUUUGAUAUACUUAAAAAUAAAUUUAAAUUUAUAUUUGUUUUAUUAUUAAUGUAAAUAAUGAUAUAUGUCAUAUUAAGUAAUUUUUUAGAUGGUCCUAAAUGACUUGUUACAGUGGAUAAAAAAAAUAAGAUUCUAUUUUAAUUGAUUAGAAACGUCAAUAACUUAUUAGUGUAACGAUUUAAAAACGCCAAAAAAAACAAUUAAAAAAACGCACAUUAGAAUAGAAGGUAGGUUUUAUUAAAUUGAUGGUGGUGAAGUGAAAAAGAAAAGUCACCGAGGGCAAUAGUGGUAAAUAAAGAGAGAUGAGCAGGGGCGUAUUAGUAAAUUACAGAGCAAAGGAGGGGGCACUUCAUCUCCGACGAGUGGCAAGUGGUGAAGGUGUGGGGGAAAGCUAGAAAUCGACAAAAACAAACCGUCUUCUCUCGAUAUGACUCAUCUCUCUGCAUAGUCUUCUUCUCUUAACACAGGAGAAUCUUCUCUCUUCUCUCAUUUCGAAGACGACGAACAAAUCUCCAAGGUCAUUUGCAUUUUGCAUUUCCCCGGAAAACUUAAUUAUUUUUUUUUUUUUUAAAUGUUCUUCAGUCAAUAUUCUAACAUUUUUCAAUUUUUUAUAAAUCCGUUUUUGUUUAUAGGAAGGCGUGAAGAGUAAAAGUAUAACUGUUACCUUCCUCAAUGCAUUAAGUGAGCAUUCCAAUCCAAUCCUCUUUCCUCUUUCUCUCUCUCUUAAUUUAAAACUAUUUUGACUUGAUUCUCGCCGGAGCAGUUUGUUCGCCGGCGCAUUCUCUCGGAGGUUAUACUGUUCAUUGUCUUCCCUCUUUCUCUUUACAUCGUCUUUGGCUUUUCUUUUUUUCUCUUUUGCUUUCGUCAGCUUCAAGUGUUCAAAGAUGAAACCGUUUUUUAUUUUCUUUUUUGAAGAUCUUUGACUGUUCAAAAAGCCUAACGACCUGGAGAAUCUCUUCGAUUCGUAUCUUAUCAACUUUUUUUUCUUCUUUUUUUUUCUUACAGUCUAAGAAGAAUCUGCUCCCUGUUUAGUCAAGCCUCCUCAUGAACUGAGCUGACCUCUGAUCCGACGUCGUACUCGAUCUCAAUCAAAAAUGUCGUCGUCGGAUUAACUCGGAUCCAAUUCUCUGAUUCCCCGUAAUAUUACCUCACUCGAAGGUAACAAUCUCUCAAUAAUCUCAGCUUCUGGAUCUUAAAAACUUUGCUUGGAUAAAACGUCACGUGUUCGAUUCCCCUUGAAAGGAAUCCUUAAUUUUAAUAUGGUUUGGGGUGGUUUUAACAUGUUUCAGGAACUUUCUCGCGGUUAAUUGAUUUUGAGAGUUAAUGUCUCACUCAUGGGAUGGACUCGGGGAGAUAGCGUCAGUAGCUCAGCUCACGGGCCUAGACGCAGUCAAGCUCAUAGGCCUCAUAGUCAAAGCCGCGAACACCGCGUGGAUGCACAAGAAGAACUGCCGCCAGUUCGCUCAGCACCUCAAACUCAUCGGCAACUUGCUCGAGCAGCUCAAGAUCUCCGAGAUGAAGAAGUAUCCAGAGACUCGCGAGCCUCUCGAAGGCCUCGAGGAUGCUCUGAGGAGGUCUUACAUUUUGGUUAACAG
This 7072-nucleotide long non-coding RNA is filed under the name Brassica napus (rape). RNAcentral describes it as "long non-coding RNA (BNAP_LNC009132)". Lineage: Eukaryota; Viridiplantae; Streptophyta; Magnoliopsida; Brassicales; Brassicaceae. The record is from RNAcentral.